GUGCUUGCUUCGGCAGCACAUAUACUAAAACUGGAAUGUUACAGAGAAGAUUAGCAUGGCCCCUGUGCAAGGAUGACACGCAAAUUCGUGAAGCAUUCCAUAUUUUU
Molecule: small nuclear RNA, 107 nt
Filed under: Nannospalax galili (Upper Galilee mountains blind mole rat)
Lineage: Eukaryota; Metazoa; Chordata; Mammalia; Rodentia; Spalacidae
Source: RNAcentral